Molecule: long non-coding RNA, 234 nt
Filed under: Lathyrus oleraceus (garden pea)
Lineage: Eukaryota; Viridiplantae; Streptophyta; Magnoliopsida; Fabales; Fabaceae
Description: Pisum sativum (pea) long non-coding RNA (PSAT_LNC004656)
Source: RNAcentral
AGCAACACACAUUGACCAAAUAUGAAUGGAAUCAACAUCACUCAAUGGUAAAUAGAAGUGAGAUGAAGCUUAGAAGUCAAGAAACAAUAAAAAUAUUUUGGUAAUUUUUGGAAUUAAAAUAAUACUUGAGUUAAAAUACACAAAAUAAAGGUCAAACUUCAAAUCCAUUUCAAAUCAACUUGGAAAAGUCCAAAUGGAUCAUUAUAAGUUCAACAUGGUCAAACAAGGUUUGAC